Molecule: microRNA precursor, 102 nt
Filed under: Marmota monax (woodchuck)
Lineage: Eukaryota; Metazoa; Chordata; Mammalia; Rodentia; Sciuridae
Source: RNAcentral
AGGAUCUCAUGGGGAUCUUGUUAAAAUGCAGUUGCUCAUGCAACAGGCCUGGGGUGAGGCCUGAUCCGUUGCAUUUCUAACAAGCUCCCAAGUAAAGCCAAC